UUUAAAAAGAACAACAAAGGACGAAGUCGAGGAGAAACUUUCCGUUUAUCACGUAUAUUUAUGGUAUGUAGAUUUUUUUAAUGUGGCUAUCACGGUUUUUCAUAUUUAUGAAUUGUGUUUUUAAACUCUGAAUUGGUAUCCAUAUUGCACAAUUAGAGAAAAAUAUAACUAUUCCAGAAAACAGAUCAGCACAUGGCCAUCGUAAAUAAAUUUUUUAUAAACAUAUUGAUUCCUCCAAUUGUACUAUUUUUAAGAGCAUUUAAUGUGGAAAGCAUAUUUAGUUUCAUUUUAAAGUUUAGGUAAAGAUUGUUACAAUUAUUAUGCUUAAAGAUUCAUAUAAGAAAAAGGGGGGAUAAGCAAGUGUUUUACAUUAUUUUGCUCAGGUAAAUUUCCCAACAUGUUUACUUUAUACUAUAUAUAUGCGAUUUUUUAGUUUAACCUUAAGGCUUGGUAAACCACAUACUUUUUGACGAUUAUAAACAAUAAAUUUCAACUUAACAACAAAGCAUCUAAUUUGCAUGUUCAUGUGAUGGAAAAUUGAUACUUAUUUUUACAAUAACAUUAAAAAUUCAACAAAAUAGUAUUAUUUCACGCUAUGAGAGGAUAACUUUGAAUAUGUUCAUUGAUAACUUUUUACCUAAUUAACUUCUACAAAAGUCAUUCUAUUUUAAAACAAGUCAGUUUCUACGCUUACUGAUCUUCAGGUGAUCUCUAACUCUGUGUAAUAUGAGAAAUGCAUGUUUACAUUAAUGUGUACGUAACCUGGUUUUGAAUGUUAUAGCAGUCCAUUAUCUGAUAUCAUGAACAUGUAUUAUUUAUUUUACAGAAGCUUGUCAAACAGAUCAAUGGCUAAAAGGCAUCAAGUGGAGCAAAAUUAAAAUUCAGUUUUGGGAAUUCCAGUCUUUAAAAUCAUCAAAGGUAGGUUUUUUGUCUGUAUAGCUAUAUACCAUUUGUGUUCAAAGAUUAAUCUUUUGUUUAUUCUAAUUUUGUUUAACUUUACAUACCAUAUUAUGUUUGUCUUUAUAUCUAAGCUAUUCUAGUAAAGCUCUUUAUUUUAUGUUAAUGGAAUUGUGCAGUCAUCAAUAAAAAAAAAAACGUCAUACUUAGGUAAAGUGUUUUCAUUGUUAUAUCAAUAACAUAGUGGAACCCGCAGUCUUACAAAACUCAGGUUGAAGCUUCUUCAUUAACAAAAAACUACUAAUAGUAAACAUUAAUGUACAUAUUAUUUUUAUUAAUGAUUGACUUAUCUCAAUAUGUCGUCAUUAUGGUUUUAUUUAUUUCAAUGCUUUUAGAAACAAAUUUGAAAGUGGCUCAAAUUUAAAAUAUCUUUUCAGGACAUACAAUUUAUAUUUAUUAUAUAUAUAUAAUCUGAUUUUUUUCAGAGUUUAAAUAUACUGCAAGAGUAAAAAGAUGUCACUUGGAAAUACAUAUCUGAUAAAGACCUCUCCUGCUUAAAAUUUACCGCUGAAAGAUCCCGAGGUGGUGGACGAAUGAUGACAUGCAAUAAGGACAAAAAGAGACAAAUAUAACAAAUGAAUUUAUAAAAUAAAUCUUGUAUCAAAAGAAA
This 1567-nucleotide long non-coding RNA is filed under the name Mytilus galloprovincialis (Mediterranean mussel). Lineage: Eukaryota; Metazoa; Mollusca; Bivalvia; Mytilida; Mytilidae. The record is from RNAcentral.